AGCAUAAUUCUUGAAACAGAUGCGAAUACCAUUGCGGGGAAGGUUGCAACCAAUGCUGCUGACGGUUCUGUUCCCUUCUCUGAGCAGGCAAAUUUCUGAAUCUCCAUCCCCGCACAUUCCUCUGUUAGUUAUCAUAUAGUAUCUCAUAGUUUUUCUCAUUGGCUGUUUGUUCUCUGCAGACAAUAUCCCAAGCUCUGGCCACAGCCAGGGAACACUUUGCAAGAUCUCUUCUGAAGUGAGAAACCACUGCUUCUUCUGUCACCCCUGUUACAACUUGUGUGUGUUUGAGGUCUGGCUACUAUGCUAUAGGCCUGGUAGCGGUCACUUAACCAGAAGCGCAACUGUGACAGACAGAUUUGUCUGGAUUCUUCUUAAAUGAUAUGUAAUACUAUUUUCUCGUCAAAUGCAUGCUGCGUGUCGUACAUUUUCUGGAGGUAUAGAGAAAUAAUUUUUGACGUUAAUCCAAUUUCUGCUAAAUAACACUCUUCUCAAACCGGAAAGGGCGGAUAUCGCUUCAACUUUUUUUUUUUUUUUUUGCCUUUCGUUUAUUUCUUUACAAGAAUUAUGUGUGUUCCCAAGCAUGAGCCAGAAGUGGCCUUAUUGAUGAAGCGUUAUUGCUAGGGGUGUUAUGUUAGGAGAUGAACCUCUGAAGUCUUAUAGGCAGCCCAAAUGUGUGCAAGAGGGAUGUUUAGCCUCCCGUACAAUAGUCAUUGAGACAAGUGCCGAAUAUUCUAUGUUAGCCUUCACGGGAGAAAAAAAUGAAAUUAAAGGGACCAGAGGAAAAUUGAAGGAAGAACAACGAAAGGGGUUUGUCCCCAGGGCUGUGAAGUUCAGAUCUACCACCCCAUCUCUGUAAAGUUAUGGUUCCACCAUCUUUGAUGAGUUUAUUCUAAUCCUUACCUUUUGCAACCCUAAAUCUUACUGUUGUCAUCUAAGACAGUGAUAUCUUAAUGCAUGAAAGCCUCUAAAGCUACUUAGAGAAGAACCUCUAGUGUCCCACAUUUGAAUGGCUUCAUCUAGUGGGUUUUACCCUAAUUUAGGGAGUUUCCCACGUUAAUAUUUGGUGUAUAUGUGUGUUUAUAUUGAUGUUACAUUUUUGUAGAAGAAUGUCUAGAAGCACUUAGUACUUGUCCUAGAUAUGUGUUGGAAGCACUCAGGGAGAAAAGAAAGUACUUCCGCUCGCUGCUUGCAUGACCGCACAAGGCAGCUGAGGCAAGAACAGAAUUCAGAAAGGUGCGCUCCUGCCCUGCGCACCGCGUCGGCCGUCACUCCGGCGUCGGCGGCCACCAGUCUCGCCGCUCCCCACUCCAGGGACGGCGCCUACCUCCCGCUCCUAGGUGCCAUGGCCUCUAGGGUCUUCCUGUCCAGGCCCCUCUCGCUGGAGCCCGACUCCCCCCCGCAGUCUUCGCCAAGAUCCCGUUGCAUGGUCGCGGCCUCAGCUCAGAUCUCUCAUCGUGCCGUAGAUCCUGGGCACCGCCUUCGGUCCGCUGACCGCUCGUGCAGGGUGGCGGCACGGGGGCCUCUUGCGCCCCCACUCAUCCUCCGGCGAAUGGUGGGUGGCAGACCAAGAUGGGUCGUCGCCCGCGGGCUCCGCCUGUCCGUGCCCCACCUGUGCGACGUCGGCGCCUGGCGGGGCGGCCCCGUGCACUGCCGGCCCCUCGACCGCCGCCCUCCUCAAGGCCACCCCCGAAGCUUCAUGGAUGCUGCUACAACUGCAGGAGUGAUGGGCAUAUCUAUGUCGACUGCACGAAUCCUACGUUCCGUGUCCCGGUGCCGUGGGGCCGGUCACACGUCGCGCGGGUUUACGUGUCCCCGCAGCCCCUCUCCGGUGGAGAAGCCGUCGCGUCCCCCGCCGGCCCUCCGCUCUAAGGUGACCACGUCCCCAAGCCCCGACCACGCAGUCUCCUUCCGAUCUGCCACUCCGUCGCCUGGCUCGUUUCGAACAUAUCUAUACUUUUUAAUUGUUCAUGCUGAUAUGUUAUUAUUGUAAGAUACUUUUUGUGCAGUCAUAUGCCAAUUUAUAAUAUUUUUGAGCACUAGCCUAUUGACCCAGUGCCCAGUGCUAGUUCCUAUUUUAUGCGUGUUUUUUUGCUUUGCAGGUUUACCCUACCAAACGAAUUUCAAAUGCCACAAAACUUUAAUAUGAUUUUUUCUGGACUAUAUGAAGACCUGCAAGCAUCAGAAGUGGACGAGAGGCCGAACGAGGUAGGCACAAGCCAACAGGGCGCGGCCGCGCCCUAAUGACUUGUGCCCCCCUAGAUGCCUCCCGCCGUCCCUCUCUGACCUAUAAAUUCACAAAUAUUCCGAUGCACUCCCGAAACACUUUUUCCGCCGCCGCAAGUCUCUGUUCUGACGGAAGGCCAUCUAAACCUCCAUUCCGGCGAUCUGUCGGAGGGGAGAUCAGUCACGGAGGGCCUCUACAUCAACCUUGUUGCCCUCACCGUGAUGUGUGAGUAGUUUACCACAUACCUACGGGUCCGUAGGCAGUACCUAGAUGACAAUCUCUCUCUCUUAUGAUCUUCAAUACCAUGUUCAUCGCAUCUUCGCUUUGAUCUAUCCGAUGUAAUCACUAUGUAUGGUGUGUUUGUUGGGGUCCGAUGAAUUGUGGGUUUAUGUUCAGAUUAUUCAUGAAAAGUAUUUGAGUCAUCUCUGAUUAUUAUGAUUCUUAAUUGCAUGAUCA
RNAcentral lists this long non-coding RNA (2680 nucleotides) under Hordeum vulgare. Its description in RNAcentral is "long non-coding RNA (HVUL_LNC012862)". The record is from RNAcentral. Lineage: Eukaryota; Viridiplantae; Streptophyta; Magnoliopsida; Poales; Poaceae.